RNAcentral lists this unclassified non-coding RNA (7633 nucleotides) under Homarus americanus (American lobster). Its description in RNAcentral is "transmembrane protein 39A-like, transcript variant X1". The record is from RNAcentral. Lineage: Eukaryota; Metazoa; Arthropoda; Malacostraca; Decapoda; Nephropidae.
UAAACGACCACAAGUGAGGUAGUUAUUCCUUCAGUCCCUGUUAAUUAAAUUUGUUUGUGGCUUAACUACCUCUAUUGACGCGCGUGUGUGCGAGAGUGACGAAAGCGGCGAUGGCAGGAGGGCGACGCAAUCCUUCCCGUGUUCCACCACCCAAACCUGUAGCACUGCUGGACCAUGACUUGAAGAGGCUCGGACAUGCAGAAGAUGGACCGCCCCUGAUGCCCAUAACACCUCCUAAGCACAUGACCAUACCGGAUAUUCCCCGCAUCUCGGAGCUGGGGUUUGAGACGCUGAUGCUGGUGUUUAGCCUCAUGUCCUUGGCUCUCCAGUACCUCAACAUCUACCGCACUGUCUUCUGGCUGCCUCAUUCUCACACCAAAUAUGCUAUGAACCUGUACCUGAUAGAUGGAAGUGUAGUGUGGUUUAUCGUGGUGACACUGACCCGGAGGUGGGGGUGGAGCAUCCUCAAGCUGGUGAUCACACGCUGCCUUCACCAGUCUCUGUGGAAGUCAGCUCUCUCUAUCGCACGUGUGGUGUUUGUGUGCAUCAUUGCAGCACUUCUUGGCUUUUGUCUCUACACAAUCAGCGACGCUCUUACCUACAUCAAGAUUUUGGCUCUUGGAUACCCGCUUGUAUUUUAUGUCUUCAUAUUUGACAUGGAGAUCACAUCAUUCCUAGAAGUUAUUCCAGUCCCUUUACAUUACAAGGAGGAAGGAACCAAGGCCAGACAAGUGAGAAGUAUGAAUAUGUGGAAAGAUGGAUGGUUGCCUCAGGAAACAUACACAGCUGUGCCGCGUCUCAUUCAGCACGCUUGCUUGAACAGCGCUGAGGGAGUACGCGGAGAGGUGGAAUUCCUGACUAACGACUGCAACAAGCGCAUGGCACAAGUCAUGUACCAGACCAUCGUCAUCGUUUACUACACCACGCUCAUUCCGUGCUUCUUUGUCCCGAGUCCAUUGUACUAUGAUGUGCCGUGGGUGUCAUUUCACAUACUAUUUGUGACAACUACGUGCUUCAUGUGGCACCUCCUCUAUUGUUACCCUGCAAGAUACUGUGAUAUUCUCCACCGAGCGUCGAUGCACCUCGGGGGAUGGGCUCGGGUUGAAGGUCGGUCAGCUCAUGCUCCUUACAACCCUUGGUCCAAUUCUGUGUUGUGGCCGCAGGGAGCUUUGGUCAAACACAAUCGGGAGCUGUACCGAGCGGAGGGCAUCACCAACGCUGCUGAGCCCGGCAACACUACACAUGCCAGACUAUAUGCGAUCUUCUGUGACCCUUCCCGGCCAGUGUUGGUGCUGGUAUGGGUGUGUGUCUGCUGUGUCCUGCUACACUUAGUAUUGCUGGCCUCCUUACACCAAUGGCAUCAGUUACUGGCCACGGCACUGGUCCUGUCGGCAUCGUACGCGGCACUCUACUACCUCUUAAGAGACUAUUUGGUUCUCAGAAAAGUUUAUCAGCAAGAGCAACAGCUACAAGAGAGAGUUGUCAAUUAAAUUAUGCUCGUAAUAUGUAGACUUAUAAUAAAUACGAUAAUCUUGGAUAUAUAAUAAUUUCCAGGAAACGGCGUGUGAUAUAUCGCGUUCGUGAGACAUUCCACGUGAAUAGUGACGUCAGUGAAAUGUAUGUGACGUGUAUGCAAGUGUUAGAAAUUGAUGAUGGACAUGUCACGGUAAAGACAUGAAGAAAGGUUUAGUUUAAAUUUCAUGUUCAAAAUGAAAUCAAACACACACAGGUUCUGAAAAAAAUUGUUUCAGAAAAAAGUGAGUCGUGAGCAAAUUACUACUGUUUUCUUCCACCUGUUGGGAGUAUGUUGAAGCAGUAACUUGUUAUCAGUACUGUCUAGGCAGGAGAAUUUUCAUAUAGGUACUUUAUUGUAUUUCUGUUUUUAUUUCUGAGGUACAAUUUUGUGGCUUCUUUUGACACACAAGGAAAAAGCUCUCUCAGGGGUGAGUUGGUUCUUUAUUUAAGUGAAUUUAUUCAUCAUGGUGGUACAGCUGUAAUGUGAGUAUCUCUCUCACCACUGUGUCAAGGGUUCAAGUCCUGCUUGUCCCGGACACAUGUGGGAAGGGUGUUAUCCAGUGCGACCCUACCAAACAUCACAGGUUUCCUCCGGGCACUCUGGUGUCCUUCUGUACUAGCACUGGAUGGAACCAACUACCUGAACAGCUAGUAAACUGGUAAGUGGUGAAAUGAUAAAUGAAUGAUUUGUGGUACAAGCCAGCAUGGUCACAGUGAGGUAAUUCUGUACAACCCUGAUAAAAGACGAAUCAUUUAAGAAAUGAUGUUAUAUGACACCAGUUCUUAGAGUACAGUACAGUAUUUGUAUUUAUAUUUGUAGUCUCCCCAAUUGUUUUCUGUAUUGAUAUAAGCAGUUUUAUUUGAAGACAAGGCAAUGAAUUAAGUAAAUAUUACAGUAUUUUUGCAAAUAAAUCACUGUAGUUGCAUGUGGUCCAUGUAUAUGCUGAUAACCACAUCUGAAAAAAGAAAACACCAAGUUCCCAAGUACUUUCAUCUAUUUCACAUCCUUAGGGGUGAGUACAGACUGAGGUGGAGAUAGUGCAAGACAAUACAUAAUGUCAGAAUAUAUUUUAACAUUUUCAUAAUGUUCUUAAGAAUUUGAACCUUGUUAAUGAAAAGAAACAACUAAGAAUAAAACUUGACGAGGAAGCUGCCUUUGGACAAUCUCUAGGUCUUAUCUCACAGGAAGUGGCUACAGAUUAUAUCAGUUAGUGUUUGUUGUUAUGGUUUGUUAUUUUGUACACCAGGUCUGCUUACCCACCACUGUUAGUGAUGAAUUCAGAGCCGAGUCAAAGUGUAUUCAUCGCUUAAUUAUUAAUACAGUACAGUAUUUUGCCAGGUAUUAUUCUGAACACUGUACAGAAUCCCACUAAUUCUUUACAUUAAAUUUAAUUGGGAUUAUUACAGAAUAGAAACAUAAUUAGAGAUGUUCUAGAAACUUUAAAAGUGAUAAAUUAUAUGAAACUAAACAAAAAGAAUUACACAAUAAUAUACAGUGUACAGUAUUAGCUUACAAAAUGAUUAGAAAUACUGUAUAUAGCUAAGAACUCUAUAAUGCUGCCCAGUGAAGGUUUCAAUUGUGAUGAUGGUCUGAAGGUUGAAGUAACUGUCUCAUCAACAACAUAUAUACUGCUUGCAUCAAUAUGAUUUGAAAAUUAUACUGUACAUUCACGGUCAUAAGUUCUGUCGCUUCUGCCGAUUCACGAACCCCGAGAUUCAUGAACCCUAAGCAUUUAUGGACAGUAUAAUGCAUCAUUGCUUACUGCUUCGGGUUCACGAGUCUGGAUCUUAGGGUUCAUGAGUCUGAAUAUCUGGGUUCGUGGAGUACAAGAAGAUACGACUGGAUUCUUGACCGUGCCUGUACAAAUUCUAUUCACAAAUCCAAAAUUAUCUAAGAAGAAUGCUAUAAAUGCCCUGUGUCCCUCUGUUAGCACUGACAUGUUAGAUUACAAAGCUAGAGAAAUUAUAUUUCACUUGAGUUAGCUGGUAUGGUAUAAAUCAAGGUGUAAGGCUGGGGAAAAAUGGAUUCCUGGAUGUAUGAUUUUUGUAUUUGUUUUUUAUGAGACUGAGGAACUUGUGUUAUCAGAGAGAGAACUUCAUUUAACUUAUGGGAGAUAUUGUUUUCUUGUUAUUGCCUCUAGUAUUGUGCGCCAUCUUGUUUUAAAGGUUUAUUUAGUAGUAUCCUGAAGUGCACAAUCAGUGUUCUAUGGACCUCAGUGUGGGUAAGACCUCCACUUCUCCUCCUCCUCCUUCCCUUCCUCCUUCCAUGAAGUUUUUAAUCUAAGUGUGUCUGUCUUUCCUCACUUCUUAACAUAAAAGAUUUAUUUAUUUUUUCAAUAGUGUGUUAGUUAUAUUAUUUCUGUAAUUAGGUUGUUAGUAAGUAGAUGCAUUUUAUUGCAUAUUUACAUUAUCUUAUUUUUUUAUAAUGCCAGUAUAUAUUAUAUAUAUACAGUAUAUGAACACUAAUAUAUACCGGUAUAUACAUUGUAUGUUUGAUCCAUAUAAACUUCUAAGUUUUCUCCUGUAUGACGUCCUCCCUCAAGAGAAAAUAACUGUCAGUUACCCCCCCCAAUACAGGACCCCACAUUAGAACACUGACAGUGCAUAUCACCUUUUUAUAUACAUGAUAGAAAUCAGUUAAUAUACCUGCCUUGUACACAUGCUCCAUGAAAUAUCUUUACUGAGGGACCCGAUGAAUUUUAAAAUGUACAUUGCGACUUCUGUUCUUUCGGUAGUGUUGUCAAAAUCCUUCGUCCGUUGUGUCACAUCGGCUCACACAAAAAGGGUAAAGAUAUUUAUUUGGAGGAGUGUACAUCCCAGGCUGACUCUUAACUAGUCUUGUUUGUUUAGUGCUUUUAUGCCCGACUGGAGAUGAUGGUCUACUUAGCUCCCCAAGAUUACUUUUGUGUACACUGUGACAGGUUGAGAAUUAUGGCUUAGCUUAGGGUGAGGAUUAUGGCUUGACAGGUUGAGAAUUAUGGCUUGGCUUAGGGUGAGGAUUAUGGCUUGACAGGUUGAGAAUUAUGGCUUAGCUUAGGGUGAGGAUUAUGGCUUGACAGGUUGAGAAUUAUGGCUUGGCAGGUUGAGAAUUAUGCCUUGACAGGUUGAUAAUUUUGGCUUGGCUUAGGGUGAGGAUUAUGGCUUGGUGACUUUUAUUAAGGUUAACGUACGGUAUAUUCAAGUUAGAUAUAGUAGUAUGACAUUGCAGACAAAAUUAUGAAAUACUUUGAUGUCUGAUACAGAGACAACAUCACACCAAACAACCUUGAUAUUGGUGUAUGACAGCCUCGUGUAGGUUUAAAAUCUGCGUAAAUAAACCUGAUUUAUGUUUAGUUUGAAGAUUGAUUAUAUUUUAGAGAUUAAAUCAUAUCAGUUUUAUUUAAAUUCAAAACUAUUUGUAUCUCAGUCAUUAUAUGUAUACUGUAUGUAUAUUUGUAGUUAAUUAUUACGUUUUUGUAUUUAUUUUGGUAUUGAUUAUAUUGUGUAAUCUAACAUGGCCUCAGAUUCAUAGCUUUGGUUGUGAGCUUUGUUGGUACUGUACAGUUUAGUAAAGCACAAAGUUUGACCAAGACAUAAUGAUGAUAAAGCUUUAUAUAUUUUGAAGAGUUUAUUUACGGUACAUGUUUGUGUUGUUGACAUUCACGUACAUAAAAUGGCAUCAGCUUUUUCUUUUAUUUAAUUUUUUUUCAUUUAUUCUCAGUAUAUGUUUUGGACAAUCACGUGAAAUAUAUUUGGAGAGGAAUGCUGAAGAGUUUGAGUGGUUGGUUAGGAUAAGAUACUUCUCUAUUUAUUUCUAACAAGUUGAAUAUUAGGAAGACUAUAUGCAUUUAGAAAUAUGUUAUACUGUAAUUUAUGUGUGAAUUUUUUAAGUUAAUGUCUAUAUUUUUAUAUGGAUUAUUAACCUCUUGUGUAUGGAGGUCUCUCUGUGCUGAAUAAGGGUUCAGUAACAAUGGACACUUUAGAAUCAUUGAGUAUUUGAGUAACAUCAAAAGAGAAAGUACUGGUGACCUUGUUUUACACUUACACUCUAGUUUGAUCAUUAAGUUGGUCUGUUCCCAGAUAGGAUGUGCUUAGUUGUAUGAUGUGGCUUCUUAUUAAUUGUAUUUUGCAGUAGAUUUGCUCCACGAGGUUUCAGAUGAUAGAUUUGUUCCACAUAGGUAUCAGACAGUAGAUUUGCUCCACACUAAAGUUUCAGAUGGUAGAUUGGCUCCACUUAAGAAGUUUCAGAUGAUAGAUUGGCUCCACACAAGAGGUUUCAGAUGGUGAAGUUACCAAGUCUCAAAUUGUGUCGUAUAAGAUAAGGUGUUAUGGGUGUUCAUCUUAAAGAAUAAGAUAGAGUACAGUAUAUUGGUUCAAUGAGUUAUGCUUCAGAGGAUACUGUACAAUAUUAUAUAAUUUACAGGUUACUUCAAGGAAAGGUUACACUUAAUAUUUUUUGCCGGUGUGCUGUUACGAAAAAUAGGAAACCAGUGCUUUUUUACCCUAAUAUAAUUUUUAUUUGACGUAGGAUGAGUAUUAAUUUACUGUUUUCAUGGAAAUAUGAUAUAAAUAUUUACUGUCUCAACUAUACAUUUUUUUUUAUAGAGUUAGAUUUAGAAAGAAACCAAAGAUUUUUUUUCUUCUAUUACUUACUCAUAAUUACUGUAAUAUGGUAGUUAACUCACUCACUCACUCAUAGCUGCUAUGAAUAUAUAUUUUCUCACAGUCUUGAAAAUCCUCAACACAUCACUUAGUAUCUGUCUUUAUGUUGAUAUUACUGUCUUCGUCUAUUAUUCCAAGAGCACCGACAGCAACGACGAUCAAAAUAUUUGCUACAAUAUCCUUCCUGUAGGCUGGGCCACGACUCACAUGAAUCACUUGUUUAUUGUUGGUACAGUAUCAGAGGAAAUUAACUUUUGAGUCAUGAGUACACCUGCUAAGAAUGGGGGAAGAAGGAAGAUGGGAGAAUGAGUGCAGAAACACCUGAAAUAUUGAGAAGUAAAACUUUGAAGGGAUGGAGAUAUGGUAAAGUGAGCUUGUAACUGAUAGUGUGCAGGGUGAGUGUGGGUAUGAAUGUAUGUAUGUAUGUUGGUCUUAGUGUGGGUCCUUGCUAAGGGAUUUUGUUGUGGCAUUGAAGAGAGUAAAAGGAUUCAUGUGUGAGUCUCCUUAUUAUGUAAUUUAUAUACUGUAGUAUAUUAAUUUAUUAUCUUAUUUACGUAAUUAUUUUAUUCUUUUUUGAGGGGGUAAAUUUUCAAGUAAGUUGGGUAUAUACAUUUCAUUGUUACUAAUAAAAGCAUAUUGUAUUACAGUAUAAUACCUGUAAUUUGCAAUAUUAUAAAUAAUUUUAUUUUGCUUCAAGGGCCAGUGUGAGCUCAUUCAAAGGCCAAUCAGUGGCAAAGAAAAGGAUAAAAGUAAAAGUAAUAAUAAUUUAUUCUACAUUAGACUCGAACUAACUUGAGAUUUUGUUGAUUUUUGGCUGUAAUAAAAAUUCAAAAGACUCUUCAUUUUGACUGGGAGGUGUAGUGUGUAAAGAUUCAUAACAUAUUCUUUAGCCAUCUUCAAAACACUUGUUAAAAGACAGAGUGAUGUAUAGAUGACAUGUGUAUUACCAAAUCUCUUUUCUGGCUAAAGUUUCUGCCUAUUGUUUCUUCCCUGUAUGUAUGUGUGUACCAGUGUGCCUAUGUAUGAAUGCCUACCUGUUUACAUGUGUAUCAACCCCUUCAUGUAUACUUGCUGGUAUGUAUACAUUUCCCUGAAUUUGUGAAUCGUCUUGAGUGUGAGUGUUUGUGUGUGAGUGCUUCUGUUCGAGUGUUUGCAUAUGACUGUAUUUUAGAUUGGAAGUUUCACUUUUGAUGCUGGAGUAAGAUAAUGUAUUAUCACUGUUCAGGGAUGCUCAUAAAAAAUAUAGUUCUUCUCUGAGGUGAUAGUGUGUAUUAUAAUGUGUGUCUUGACGUUUUUCUAGGAGUAACAGCUUCUUAUUUACACACACACACACACACGAGGAAAGUUAAUGGCAUUUCUCUGAUAACUAACCCCAAAAGUUUUGCCUGAUCUUAUGGAAUGAUAUUCAGGUGUUAUGCUUCUGAAAUACAUGAACGAUAUUGACAAAAAUUAAAGUAUUAAAGUGAUAAAUAAUAAA